Molecule: ribosomal RNA, 465 nt
Filed under: uncultured Klebsiella sp.
Lineage: Bacteria; Pseudomonadati; Pseudomonadota; Gammaproteobacteria; Enterobacterales; Enterobacteriaceae
Description: bacterial SSU rRNA
Rfam family: Bacterial small subunit ribosomal RNA
Source: RNAcentral
CCUACGGGUGGCUGCAGUGGGGAAUAUUGCACAAUGGGCGCAAGCCUGAUGCAGCCAUGCCGCGUGUGUGAAGAAGGCCUUCGGGUUGUAAAGCACUUUCAGCGGGGAGGAAGGCGGUGAGGUUAAUAACCUCAUCGAUUGACGUUACCCGCAGAAGAAGCACCGGCUAACUCCGUGCCAGCAGCCGCGGUAAUACGGAGGGUGCAAGCGUUAAUCGGAAUUACUGGGCGUAAGGCGCACGCAGGCGGUCUGUCAAGUCGGAUGUGAAAUCCCCGGGCUCAACCUGGGAACUGCAUUCGAAACUGGCAGGCUAGAGUCUUGUAGAGGGGGGUAGAAUUCCAGGUGUAGCGGUAAAAUGCGGCGAGAUCUGGAGGAAUACCGGUGGCGAAGGCGGCCCCCUGGACAAAGACUGACGCUCAGGUGCGAAAGCGUGGGGAGCAAACAGGAUUAGAUACCCGUGUAGUC